GAUGAACGCUGACAGAAUGCUUAACACAUGCAAGUCAACUUGAACUUCGGUUUGGGUGGCGGACGGGUGAGUAACGCGUAAAGAACUUGCCUCACAGCUAGGGACAACAUUUGGAAACGAAUGCUAAUACCUGAUAUUAUGAUUAUAUGGCAUCGUAUAAUUAUGAAAGCUAUAUGCGCUGUGAGAGAGCUUUGCGUCCCAUUAGCUAGUUGGAGAGGUAACAGCUCACCAAGGCGAUGAUGGGUAGCCGGCCUGAGAGGGUGAUCGGCCACAAGGGGACUGAGACACGGCCCUUACUCCUACGGGAGCCAGCAGUGGGGAAUAUUGGACAAUGGACCGAGAGUCUGAUCCAGCAAUUCUGUGUGCACGAUGAAGUUUUUCGGAAUGUAAAGUGCUUUCAGUUGGGAAGAAAAAAAUGACGGUACCAACAGAAGAAGUGACGGCUAAAUACGUG
RNAcentral lists this ribosomal RNA (454 nucleotides) under uncultured bacterium. RNAcentral's name for it is "partial 16S ribosomal RNA". It matches the Rfam family "Bacterial small subunit ribosomal RNA", at positions 28 to 507 of the family's 1533-position model. The record is from RNAcentral.